Parelaphostrongylus tenuis is the source of this 71-nucleotide non-coding RNA. The record is from the annotation of a GenBank genome assembly. NCBI's taxonomy places the organism in Eukaryota, Metazoa, Nematoda, Chromadorea, Rhabditida, Metastrongylidae.
GGCUUCGGUGGUGAAGUGGUAGCACGCGCCUCUUAUGGAGGAAACGCGGGUUCAACUCCCGCCUUGAGUCG